GUGCCAGCAGCCGCGGUAAUACCGGCAACCCGAGUGAUGGCCGAUCUUAUUGGGCCUAAAGCGUCCGUAGCUGGCUGCGCAAGUCCGUCGGGAAAUCCACUCGCCCAACGAGUGGGCGUCCGACGGAAACUGCACAGCUUGGGACCGGAAGGCUCGAAGGGUACGUUCGGGGUAGGAGUGAAAUCCCAUAAUCCCGCACGGACCACCGAUGGCGAAAGCACUUCGAGAAAACGGAUCCGACAGUGAGGGACGAAAGCCAGGGUCUCCAACCGGAUUAGAAACCCCAGUAGUCC
Molecule: ribosomal RNA, 293 nt
Filed under: uncultured bacterium
Lineage: Bacteria
Description: partial 16S ribosomal RNA
Rfam family: Archaeal small subunit ribosomal RNA
Source: RNAcentral